This 618-nucleotide long non-coding RNA is filed under the name Homo sapiens (human). RNAcentral describes it as "HSALNT0033294". The record is from RNAcentral. Lineage: Eukaryota; Metazoa; Chordata; Mammalia; Primates; Hominidae.
AGUUCUCCCUCACACCGGAGGCUGAAGACACUCACACUUCCUCCUUUUAAGUCUUCAACUUUUCUUCUUUAUGACACCCAAGGCUUUCAUGGCCAGUCAGAACGUCAGUGCCAGAAGAGGCCUUUGAGACCUCUGCACUCAAUUUCUGCAUUUGAAGACAGACCCAGGCCCUCAUCUCCUGACCCCUCAUCCAGUGAUAUUCUCCUGCACCUCCCUGAGGAGUUGCUCAACACUCUGAUCCCUCCGAGAAGCCUGGGGUACCUCUAAAUUUAACAUGCCAGAAACCGAGAACUCUAUGCAAACAACACCACUGCUCAGAGGUGAUAAGGGCUUUUCCUUAGGUUUUGCCGUGGAGUCCUUUUUUCCCUUCCUUUCUUUCCCCAGUGUACACUCGAAGGUUUGCAAUGCUUCACGCUUGAAGACUUGAGAAAAACUGAGUCAAUUCAAUCUGACCGACUUCAUAGUCACUGGCUUCAUGUGCAUUUGCUUGCUGUGAAAAGAAAAGCAUGUGAAGAAAAAUAUAUUGCCACUGAAUGAAUGGAUCUGUCUCAAAUAUAAUUGCUCAUUUUUACCUGUCCCUUAUGUACAAACUCUUUCCAGCCACAGCUCUUCCGAAUG